UCUGUUUCUGAAGAGAGAUGGUGGGUUUGAAAAUGUUCCUCCUGAGGGCGGGGCAUCAAGAGUCAGAGUGCCACUGAGAGUUCCGAGAAGGAUAAAUACACAUCUGUUCACCUCUUGCAAGUGGAUGCGUAUUAAUUAAUAAAACCUCUGAUUAGUGUGUUUAGAGUUGGAACUGAAGCACGGCUCCAGAGUUCGGUGUGUCGGCUCUUCUGACUACGGCUCCUCUGACCCGUGACACAGCGACCGAGAGAUGAUGACACUUUACAUCCAGCUCAAUGCAAGGACAUGUCGAUCUAGAAGGAGUCUCCAGUGUCAGUGCUUUGUCACAGUCAGAGCUGUCGAUCUGCUCAGAUUCAGAAUCAGCACACGGCAUCAGCUCCUGAUCUCCGCUCAGCCCGAGUCACCUGUGGAAAUCGCUCAGGUCCGUCUAUCUUCAGAUGAAAAGGGAAAGUCAUGCAAGAUUUUGUUUGUGGAAAUAAGAUCUCCAAGCAACAUGAACACUGAGACCUGAAAACAGAACUUUCUCUCUGGUCUCAGGCAGUUUGAGAGCCAGCAGUCCUCCACACACCAGUGCAGCACAGGACAGGAGGAUGGGCAUGACUUUCGUGACCCCCACAAAUGAGGAAAAGAUGGAGCUGCCCAAGAUGGCUGCCAGUUUACACACUGCGUUCAGGACUCCGAAUGCUGUGGCUCUUGUCGUAAAGCUGCCGGAGUUUGGAUACAGUUGUGUUUCUGGAUGGCGGUUUAUAAAUUGUGUCAGAGGAUGCGAUCUGUAAAGCCUCCGUUACCCCGCCGUUCUCAAACACGAGACCCUGCAGUCGACUGAAACCUGUUAACUACUGAGUGGUUCAUCUGUCGCAGCAGGAAGCGCGGACUCUCAGGCAUGAACAUGAGGCCGAUGAGAGCAGCGAUGGCCGGUAGAGCGCACACCAACACGAACACACGCCAACUGUGGAACUGAAACUCCGAACCCAUACUGAAACCCCAUCCUGAAAACACACACACACACACACGAUACCAUAGUGAUGAAUGUUUUAUCGCAUUAUUAGUGUGUUAUUAUUUUGUAGCUUGUGUACUAAAGUGAGGCACAAUGUAACAGCUGUACCACAAUGGGAUGGUGUUAUAGAGGUGUU
This is a long non-coding RNA of Neoarius graeffei (lesser salmon catfish), 1133 nucleotides long. RefSeq lists it as uncharacterized. Lineage: Eukaryota; Metazoa; Chordata; Actinopteri; Siluriformes; Ariidae. The record is from RefSeq and is a predicted model, not a curated record. The transcript is spliced from 6 exons.